RNAcentral lists this long non-coding RNA (371 nucleotides) under Dermacentor andersoni. Its description in RNAcentral is "uncharacterized LOC126518642". The record is from RNAcentral. Lineage: Eukaryota; Metazoa; Arthropoda; Arachnida; Ixodida; Ixodidae.
ACCUGUCACCACAAAAGUGAAUUGACGUCAGUGCAAAGAUUUAAAGGAUACAACAUUUCCUGUGAGUGUUCUCAGCCUAGGUUGUGAAAGACUGCUUUAAACUCAUGGGGACAACUAAGAGUGACAAGAGGCAUUAUUUUGCUGAGACUUUUCAAUCAUCAUGAUGUCGAUGGCACUGUCUACAAAACUAUCACCACUGGAUUGCCCCUCUUCAGCGGGCAAGGCAGCAGCAGCACUAAUAGGUGGUGUCCCAAUCCUGUAGCCCUCUAGUGAGUGGGGAUAUUGAGAUGAACCAUUGCCCUAUUAGACCAACUAAAAGUCCACAGGAUAAAAAUUGUAAUCUUGGUCCCCCACUUGAUGAAUGGCUAACG